UCGAACGGAAAGGCCCUGCUUUUGUGGGGUGCUCGAGUGGCGAACGGGUGAGUAAUACGUGAGUAACCUGCCCUUGACUUUGGGAUAACUUCAGGAAAGUGGGGCUAAUACCGGAUAGGAGCUCCUGCUGCAUGGUGGGGGUUGGAAAGUUUCGGCGGUUGGGGAUGGACUCGCGGCUUAUCCGCUUGUUGGUGGGGUAGUGGCUUACCAAGGCUUUGACGGGUAGCCGGCCUGAGAGGGUGACCGGCCACAUUGGGACUGAGAUACGGCCCAGACUCCUACGGGAGGCAGCAGUGGGGAAUAUUGCACAAUGGGCGGAAGCCUGAUGCAGCAACGCCGCGUGCGGGAUGACGGCCUUCGGGUUGUAAACCGCUUUCGCCUGUGACGAAGCGUGAGUGACGGUAAUGGGUAAAGAAGCACCGGCUAACUACGUGCCAGCAGCCGCGGUGAUACGUAGGGUGCGAGCGUUGUCCGGAUUUAUUGGGCGUAAAGGGCUCGUAGGUGGUUGAUCGCGUCGGAAGUGUAAUCUUGGGGCUUAACCCUGAGCGUGCUUUCGAUACGGGUUGACUUGAGGAAGGUAGGGGAGAAUGGAAUUCCUGGUGGAGCGGUGGAAUGCGCAGAUAUCAGGAGGAACACCAGUGGCGAAGGCGGUUCUCUGGGCCUUUCCUGACGCUGAGGAGCGAAAGCGUGGGGAGCGAACAGGCUUAGAUACCCUGGUAGUCCACGCUGUAAACGGUGGGUACUAGGUGUGGGGUCCAUUCCACGGGUUCCGUGCCGUAGCUAACGCUUUAAGUACCCCGCCUGGGGAGUACGGCCGCAAGGCUAAAACUCAAAGGAAUUGACGGGGCCCCGCACAAGCGGCGGAGCAUGCGGAUUAAUUCGAUGCAACGCGUAGAACCCUUACCUGGGUUUGACAUGGAUCGGGAGUGCUCAAANAUGGGGUGUGCCUCUUUUUGGGGGUCGGUUCAC
RNAcentral lists this ribosomal RNA (969 nucleotides) under uncultured Actinomycetes bacterium. Its description in RNAcentral is "bacterial SSU rRNA". It matches the Rfam family "Bacterial small subunit ribosomal RNA", at positions 62 to 1035 of the family's 1533-position model. Lineage: Bacteria; Bacillati; Actinomycetota; Actinomycetes. The record is from RNAcentral.